UUUCCGGUUGAUCCUGCCGGACCUGACUGCUAUCGGAUUGAUACUAAGCCAUGCGAGUCUUUGCAGUAAUGCAAGGCAUACGGCUCAGUAACACGUAGUCAACUUACCCUAUGGACGAGGAUAAUCUCGGGAAACUGAGCAUAAUACUCGAUAGAUCAUAAUGCCUGGAAUGGUUUAUGGUUGAAAUGAUUCGUCGCCAUAGGAUGGGACUGCGGCCUAUCAGCUUGUUGGUGAGGUAAUGGCCCACCAAGGCGAUUACAGGUACGGGCUCUGAGAGGAGAAGCCCGGAGAUGGGUACUGAGACAAGGACCCAGGCCCUAUGGGGCGCAGCAGGCGAGAAAACUUUGCAAUGUGCGAAAGCACGACAAGGUUAAUCCGAGUGAUUUCUGCUAAAGAAAUCUUUUGCAAGUCAUAAAACCACUAGUGAAUAAGGGGUGGGCAAGUUCUGGUGUCAGCCGCCGCGGUAAAACCAGCACCUCAAGUGGUCAGGAGGAUUAUUGGGCCUAAAGCAUCCGUAGCCGGCUCUGUAAGUUUUCGGUUAAAUCCAUGUGCUCAACGCAUGGGCUGCCGAAAAUACUGCAUAGCUAGGGAGUGGGAGAGGUAGACGGUACUCGGUAGGAAGGGGUAAAAUCCUUUGAUCUAUCGAUGACCACCUGUGGCGAAGGCGGUCUACCAGAACACGUUCGACGGUGAGGGAUGAAAGCUGGGGGAGCAAACCGGAUUAGAUACCCGGGUAGUCCCAGCUGUAAACGAUGCAGACUCGAUGAUGCAUUGGCAUAUAGCCAGUGCAGUGUCGCAGGGAAGCCGUUAAGUCUGCCGCCUGGGAAGUACGUACGCAAGUAUGAAACUUAAAGGAAUUGGCGGGGGAGCACCACAAGGGGUGAAGCCUGCGGUUCAAUUGGAGUCAACGCCGGGA
RNAcentral lists this ribosomal RNA (916 nucleotides) under uncultured archaeon. RNAcentral describes it as "SSU rRNA". It matches the Rfam family "Archaeal small subunit ribosomal RNA", at positions 1 to 923 of the family's 1478-position model. The record is from RNAcentral.